RNAcentral lists this ribosomal RNA (285 nucleotides) under Bradyrhizobium japonicum. Its description in RNAcentral is "partial 16S rRNA". Lineage: Bacteria; Pseudomonadati; Pseudomonadota; Alphaproteobacteria; Hyphomicrobiales; Nitrobacteraceae. The record is from RNAcentral.
CUGAACGCUGGCGGUAGGCUUCACACAUGCGAGUCGGAUCAUCCUUCGUGGAUAGCGGCAGACCGACGAUUUACGCGUGCGAAUGCAGGCUCAGCUCCGGGCGAUCUCCGGGACACCGAAAUGGCAACUGCGGUGUGCCCUUCCGGGGGACCGAUAGCUCGCCAGUACCAUGAGCGCGCAUUCCGAUGCGUUACUCAGUGGUGUGCUGGCCUACCGAGCGGUCGAUCAAUAGCUGUUCUGAGAGGAUGAUGAGCCACAUCGUGACUGACCCAGGUGCAANUCCAA